UCUUAGCUUGUCCUAAAAGGCAUG
Molecule: microRNA, 24 nt
Filed under: Amborella trichopoda
Lineage: Eukaryota; Viridiplantae; Streptophyta; Magnoliopsida; Amborellales; Amborellaceae
Description: atr-miR8593
Source: miRBase by way of RNAcentral